UUUACGGGAGGCAGCAGUGGGGAAUUUUCCGCAAUGGGCGAAAGCCUGACGGAGCAAUACCGCGUGAGGGGAGACGGCCUAUGGGUUGUAAACCUCUUUUUUCAGGGAGGAAUCAACGACGUGUACCUGAAGAAUAAGCAUCGGCUAACUCCGUGCCAGCAGCCGCGGUAAU
Molecule: ribosomal RNA, 172 nt
Filed under: uncultured bacterium
Lineage: Bacteria
Description: partial 16S ribosomal RNA
Rfam family: Bacterial small subunit ribosomal RNA
Source: RNAcentral